AUCUCUUGGUUCCAGCAUCGAUGAAGAACGCAGCGAAAUGCGAUAAGUAAUGUGAAUUGCAGAAUUCAGUGAAUCAUUGAAUCUUUGAACGCACAUUGCGCCCCUCGGUAUUCCGGGGGGCAUGCCUGUUCGAGCGUCAUU
RNAcentral lists this ribosomal RNA (141 nucleotides) under Usnea florida. RNAcentral's name for it is "5.8S ribosomal RNA". It matches the Rfam family "5.8S ribosomal RNA". Rfam says of the family: 5.8S ribosomal RNA (5.8S rRNA) is a component of the large subunit of the eukaryotic ribosome. It is transcribed by RNA polymerase I as part of the 45S precursor that also contains 18S and 28S rRNA. Functionally, it is thought that 5.8S rRNA may be involved in ribosome translocation. The record is from RNAcentral. Lineage: Eukaryota; Fungi; Ascomycota; Lecanoromycetes; Lecanorales; Parmeliaceae.